This 1301-nucleotide ribosomal RNA is filed under the name uncultured bacterium. RNAcentral's name for it is "bacterial SSU rRNA". It matches the Rfam family "Bacterial small subunit ribosomal RNA", at positions 29 to 1381 of the family's 1533-position model. The record is from RNAcentral.
ACGAACGCUGGCGGCAGGCCUAACACAUGCAAGUCGAGCGAACCCUUCGGGGUUAGCGGCGGACGGGUUAGUAACGCGUGGGAACGUGCCCAAAGGUACGGAAUAGCCUCGGGAAACUGAGAGUAAUACCGUAUGUGCCCCUCGGGGGAAAGAUUUAUCGCCUUUGGAUCGGCCCGCGUUGGAUUAGGUAGUUGGUGGGGUAAUGGCCUACCAAGCCGACGAUCCAUAGCUGGUUUGAGAGGGUGACCGGCCACACUGGAACUGAGACACGGUCCNNACUCCUACGGGAGGCAGCAGUGGGGAAUAUUGCGCAAUGGGGGGAACCCUGACGCAGCAACGCCGCGUGGAGGAAGAAGGUCUUCGGAUUGUAAACUCCUGUCUUCUGGGAAGAUAAUGACGGUACCAGAGGAGGAAGCCACGGCUAACUACGUGCCAGCAGCCGCGGUAAUACGGAGGAUGCGAGCGUUAUCCGGAUUUAUUGGGUUCAAAGGGUGCGUAGGCGGCCGAGUAAGUCAGCGGUGAAAUUUUGCAGCUUAACUGUAACAGUGCCGUUGAUACUGCAUGGCUAGGAUUUGGUUGCUGUGGGUGGAAUGUGUGGUGUAGCGGUGAAAUGCUUNGAUAUCACACAGAAUAUCAAUUGCGAAGGCAGCUCACAAAGCCAAGAUUGACGCUGAGGCACGAAAGUGUGGGGAUCAAACAGGAUUAGAUACCCUGGUAGUCCACACUGUAAACGAUGAUAACUCACUGCCGGCGAUACACAGUCGGUGGCCAAGCGAAAGCGAUAAGUUAUCCACCUGGGGAGUACGACCGCAAGGUUGAAACUCAAAGGAAUUGACGGGGGCCCGCACAAGCGGAGGAACAUGUGGUUUAAUUCGAUGAUACGCGAGGAACCUUACCCGGGCUCGAACGGUGCAUGAAUAAGCAAGAGAUUGUUUAGUCCUUCGGGACAUGUAUCGAGGUGCUGCAUGGUUGUCGUCAGCUCGUGCCGUGAGGUGUCGGCUUAAGUGCCAUAACGAGCGCAACCCUUGUUGUUAGUUACCAACAGGUAAAGCUGGGGACUCUAACGAGACUGCCACCGUAAGGUGUGAGGAAGGGGGGAUGACGUCAAAUCAGCACGGCCCUUAUGUCCGGGGCGACACACGUGUUACAAUGGGGGGUACAGAGGGCAGCCAUCCGGUGACGGAGCGCCAAUCUCCAAAACCCUUCUCAGUUCGGAUUGGAGUCUGCAACCCGACUCCAUGAAGUUGGAUUCGCUAGUAAUCGCGCAUCAGCCAUGGCGCGGUGAAUACGUUCCCGGGCCU